GCCCACGUAGCACAGUCGGUAGUCGCGCUUCCUUGGUAAGGAAGAGGUCACCGGUUCAAGUCCGGUCGUGGGCUCAA
RNAcentral lists this transfer RNA (77 nucleotides) under Fidelibacterota bacterium. RNAcentral's name for it is "tRNA-Thr". It matches the Rfam family "tRNA". From Rfam's summary of the family: Transfer RNA (tRNA) molecules are approximately 80 nucleotides in length. Their secondary structure includes four short double-helical elements and three loops (D, anti-codon, and T loops). Further hydrogen bonds mediate the characteristic L-shaped molecular structure. tRNAs have two regions of fundamental functional importance: the anti-codon, which is responsible for specific mRNA codon recognition, and the 3' end, to which the tRNAs corresponding amino acid is attached (by aminoacyl-tRNA synthetases). tRNAs cope with the degeneracy of the genetic code in two manners: having more than one tRNA (with a specific anti-codon) for a particular amino acid; and 'wobble' base-pairing, i.e. permitting non-standard base-pairing at the 3rd anti-codon position. Lineage: Bacteria; Pseudomonadati; Fidelibacterota. The record is from RNAcentral.